Molecule: ribosomal RNA, 176 nt
Filed under: Boehmeria clidemioides var. diffusa
Lineage: Eukaryota; Viridiplantae; Streptophyta; Magnoliopsida; Rosales; Urticaceae
Also listed under: 6 other names
Description: 5.8S ribosomal RNA
Rfam family: 5.8S ribosomal RNA (bases 23-176)
About the family: 5.8S ribosomal RNA (5.8S rRNA) is a component of the large subunit of the eukaryotic ribosome. It is transcribed by RNA polymerase I as part of the 45S precursor that also contains 18S and 28S rRNA. Functionally, it is thought that 5.8S rRNA may be involved in ribosome translocation.
Source: RNAcentral
UAAUUUAAUAGAGCGUCGCAAUGACUCUCGGCAACGGAUAUCUCGGCUCUCGCAUCGAUGAAGAACGUAGCGAAAUGCGAUACUUGGUGUGAAUUGCAGAAUCCCGUGAACCAUCGAGUCUUUGAACGCAAGUUGCGCCCGAAGCCUUUCGGCCGAGGGCACGUCUGCCUGGGCGU